Molecule: long non-coding RNA, 459 nt
Organism: Mastomys coucha (southern multimammate mouse)
Lineage: Eukaryota; Metazoa; Chordata; Mammalia; Rodentia; Muridae
Exons: 4
Source: RefSeq, a predicted model, not a curated record
CUGAGCUGGAACCUGCAGCAAGUCUUUGACGGUCUGCGGAUUACAGUGUGAUUAUGUUGUACUUCAUGGCUAAUCCACACUUAUAAGAAUCAUCUGCAUGGAGGCAGUGAUGAGAACUAUGAUCCCUUUCUACCUGCGACUGUUUCUACACAUGUUCACUCCAUAUCGGGUUGAAUCUACAAAUGUUUUUGAUCUUCUCCUCUAAUAAUCUUUGUGUUCUUGAAGAUAAGACUUCUGCUUUGGUUGGUCAAGUGACUAAGAGUACCUGAUGCUAACUCAGUGCUCAAAAGUUAAUUGAUGAAAAAAAAGAGGAUUGUGGAAAAUCCUCAACUAGAAAAGCCAAAGUGCAGAAACUUCAGUGGGCUGUUCUUCAAACAAUUGGAAGAUAAGAACAUUGAGAACCAUGCAGAUGAUGGAGGCCUUACAUCUGAUAUACAGAGAAAGUUUAAAGACUCUGUC